CUUUCCCUCUUUCUUUAGGCCUAACACAUGCAAGUCGAACGGCAGCACAGUAAGAGCUUGCUCUUACGGGUGGCGAGUGGCGGACGGGUGAGGAAUACAUCGGAAUCUACUUUUUCGUGGGGGAUAACGUAGGGAAACUUACGCUAAUACCGCAUACGACCUACGGGUGAAAGCAGGGGAUCUUCGGACCUUGCGCGAUUGAAUGAGCCGAUGUCGGAUUAGCUAGUUGGCGGGGUAAAGGCCCACCAAGGCGACGAUCCGUAGCUGGUCUGAGAGGAUGAUCAGCCACACUGGAACUGAGACACGGUCCAGACUCCUACGGGAGGCAGCAGUGGGGAAUAUUGGACAAUGGGCGCAAUCCUGAUCCAGCCAUACCGCGUGGGUGAAGAAGGCCUUCGGGUUGUAAAGCCCUUUUGUUGGGAAAGAAAAGCAGCAGGUUAAUACCCCGCUGUUCUGACGGUACCCAAAGAAUAAGCACCGGCUAACUUCGUG
RNAcentral lists this ribosomal RNA (492 nucleotides) under uncultured bacterium. Its description in RNAcentral is "partial 16S ribosomal RNA". It matches the Rfam family "Bacterial small subunit ribosomal RNA", at positions 36 to 507 of the family's 1533-position model. The record is from RNAcentral.